This 262-nucleotide ribosomal RNA is filed under the name uncultured bacterium. Its description in RNAcentral is "partial 16S ribosomal RNA". It matches the Rfam family "Bacterial small subunit ribosomal RNA", at positions 793 to 1055 of the family's 1533-position model. The record is from RNAcentral.
GUCCAUGCCGUAAACGUUGGGAACUAGAUGUAGGUACCAUUCCACGGUUUCUGUGUCGCAGCUAACGCAUUAAGUUCCCCGCCUGGGGAGUACGGCCGCAAGGCUAAAACUCAAAGGAAUUGACGGGGGCCCGCACAAGCGGCGGAGCAUGCGGAUUAAUUCGAUGCAACGCGAAGAACCUUACCAAGGCUUGACAUAUACCGGAAAAGUUCAGAAAUGUUCUCCCCGCAAGGUCGGUAUACAGGUGGUGCAUGGUUGUCGU